RNAcentral lists this transfer RNA (71 nucleotides) under Nematistius pectoralis (roosterfish). Its description in RNAcentral is "tRNA-Gln". Lineage: Eukaryota; Metazoa; Chordata; Actinopteri; Carangiformes; Nematistiidae. The record is from RNAcentral.
UUAGAAAGAAGGGGCUCGAACCCUUGCCAAAGAGCUCAAAACUCUUAGUGCUUCCUUUACACCACUCUCUA